This 292-nucleotide ribosomal RNA is filed under the name uncultured bacterium. Its description in RNAcentral is "partial 16S ribosomal RNA". It matches the Rfam family "Bacterial small subunit ribosomal RNA", at positions 505 to 796 of the family's 1533-position model. The record is from RNAcentral.
GUGCCAGCAGCCGCGGUAAUACGUAGGGUGCGAGCGUUAAUCGGAAUUACUGGGCGUAAAGGGUGCGCAGGCGGCGCCGCAAGUCAGGCGUGAAAUCCCCGGGCUUAACCUGGGAAUUGCGCUUGAAACUAUGGUGCUGGAGUGUGGCAGAGGGAGGUGGAAUUCCACGUGUAGCGGUGAAAUGCGUAGAGAUGUGGAGGAACACCGAUGGCGAAGGCAGCCUCCUGGGCCAACACUGACGCUCAUGCACGAAAGCGUGGGGAGCAAACAGGAUUAGAUACCCUGGUAGUCC